AUUCGUCAUCCAAGACCCACAGCGUCCACAGAAUAGGAAUUAAAUAACAAAAAAAUUAAAACAUUAAUCUACUGCAUGCAAGCCGCGUGGUAUAGGAAAUACACCCGUGGCAAUUAAUAGUUCAAAGGAAUAAUGAAGAGUUUAUCUGAUACCCUGAGUAAAUGGGGUUUCAAGGAAAAGUAAAUAAAAAGUAGGCUUCGAAGAUGUUGCGCAACUUGCAGACGAGAGCCUGUUGACUGUGAAUCAGACCUUCAGUCUUAUUGCACGGAAAGUUUCUUCAGAAAGCCUUAAAUUAGCAGUACAACAGAAACCAGAAAUUGGGUGUGCAAAUUUUUUUUCCCAAGCUAUCAUCAGAAAGCCUUAAUUUUCCAGUAUUACAGAACCAGAAAUUGGUUCAAUGGCAUGGGAAGGCAACAAAAUAGCAAAGCAAAGGGCAAAGUAAUAAGAGAGGAGCGCAGAGACUUUACAAGUGCAACAGCAACAACAGAGAUUCCAGAAACCCUAGUUUUGGGCUCUGAACAAGACUGGUGCUCCUCCCCAUCCAUGCCCCUGAUGACCUGAACGUUUCUGGUGGCGGUGUCAUUAGCACAUUGUUGUAAGUUGUCUCAUGUAGGUUGUAUGUUGUUGGGAGAUUGUUCCUAUAUGAUAAGGUUGGUUGUUUCAUUUAUUGGCUUAUAUAAUAAGCCAUUACACAAUGUAAUAUUCAUUCGUUCAGGAAUAUAAUGAUAAUAUGGUAUCAGUGCCAUAUCGAUAGAUCUGUGAAUUAUUCUAGUGCUGGAGCAACAAUAAUCAUUAUAUUCCCUCUGUAGAAUAGGAGGUAACUAAGUGCCUGGCAGUGGUAGGAAGGACUUGGAGCUGAGUGAACUGGGUGCUGGAAAAGGUGUUGGAUCUGUAGAAUUGUCAAAGACUUUGCUGUAUUUCCCUAUACAUUAUCUUGGAAGGGUGUAAGAAUAGAGGACUGCUAUUUGGACUGCAGUAAAGGUGUGCGACAGUAGUGAGGCAAUCAUUUUUUUGACAUUAGUCUUGUUCGACAUUAUAGUUCACAGCUUCAAACCGUCCAAAAUAAUAUUAGAGGUGUGGGAGAUCAGCUUGCAUUUUGUGAGAUCAAGAUUUGUUGAGAUCGGCAAGGCAUGAGGGUGAUAGAGAGGAGUCAUGGGAAGUUCCUUUGUGGACAAGAGUAAUUAUUUAGUUUAAUAUGAAUUUUUAAAAGUUUAUAAAGAUUUAGG
Cryptomeria japonica (Japanese cedar) is the source of this 1226-nucleotide long non-coding RNA. RefSeq lists it as uncharacterized. Lineage: Eukaryota; Viridiplantae; Streptophyta; Pinopsida; Cupressales; Cupressaceae. The record is from RefSeq and is a predicted model, not a curated record. The transcript has 3 exons.